GGAGAGAUGGCUGAGUGGUCGAAAGCGCUCGCCUCGAAAGCGAGUGGACACAUUAACGUGUCCCGUGAGUUCGAAUCUCACUCUCUCCG
Molecule: transfer RNA, 89 nt
Filed under: Caldanaerobius fijiensis DSM 17918
Lineage: Bacteria; Bacillati; Bacillota; Clostridia; Thermoanaerobacterales; Thermoanaerobacteraceae
Rfam family: tRNA
About the family: Transfer RNA (tRNA) molecules are approximately 80 nucleotides in length. Their secondary structure includes four short double-helical elements and three loops (D, anti-codon, and T loops).
Source: Rfam by way of RNAcentral